Molecule: ribosomal RNA, 497 nt
Filed under: uncultured bacterium
Lineage: Bacteria
Description: partial 16S ribosomal RNA
Rfam family: Bacterial small subunit ribosomal RNA
Source: RNAcentral
GAUGAACGCUGGCGGCGUGCCUAAUACAUGCAAGUCGAGCGAACGGACGAGAAGCUUGCUUCUCUGAUGUUAGCGGCGGACGGGUGAGUAACACGUGGAUAACCUACCUAUAAGACUGGGAUAACUUCGGGAAACCGGAGCCAAUACCGGAUAAUAUUUUGAACCGCAUGGUUCAAAAGUGAAAGACGGUCUUGCUGUCACUUAUAGAUGGAUCCGCGCUGCAUUAGCUAGUUGGUAAGGUAACGGCUUACCAAGGCAACGAUGCAUAGCCGACCUGAGAGGGUGAUCGGCCACACUGGAACUGAGACACGGUCCAGACUCCUACGGGGGGCAGCAGUAGGGAAUCUUCCGCAAUGGGCGAAAGCCUGACGGAGCAACGCCGCGUGAGUGAUGAAGGUCUUCGGAUCGUAAAACUCUGUUAUUAGGGAAGAACAUAUGUGUAAGUAACUGUGCACAUCUUGACGGUACCUAAUCAGAAAGCCACGGCUAACUACGUG